This 487-nucleotide ribosomal RNA is filed under the name uncultured bacterium. Its description in RNAcentral is "bacterial SSU rRNA". It matches the Rfam family "Bacterial small subunit ribosomal RNA", at positions 30 to 510 of the family's 1533-position model. The record is from RNAcentral.
AUUGAACGCUGGCGGCGUGCCUAACACAUGCAAGUCGAGCGGUAACAGGUGUAGCAAUACAUGCUGACGAGCGGCGAACGGGUGAGUAAUGCUUCGGAAUCUACCCAAUGGUGGGGAAUAACCAGCCGAAAGGUUGGCUAAUACCGCAUACGUCCCACGGGAGAAAGCAGGGGAUCGCAAGACCUUGCGCCAAUGGAUGAGCCGAAGUCGGAUUAGCUAGUUGGAGGGUAACGGCCUACCAAGGCGACGAUCCGUAGCUGGUCUGAGAGGACGACCAGCCACACUGGGACUGAGACACGGCCCAGACUCCUACGGGAGGCAGCAGUGGGGAAUAUUGGACAAUGGGGGAAACCCUGAUCCAGCGACGCCGCGUGUGUGAAGAAGGCCUGCGGGUUGUAAAGCACUUUUAGUGGGAUGAAAUGUUCAGGGUUAACACCUCUGGUAUUUGACCUAACCCACAAGAAAAGCACCGGCUAACUCUGUGCCA